AACACCCAGGGCCCCGUGCUUUUAGCUGAAUAAAGGUCAGGCCGUCCGCUGUCUCGGUGGCCGCCCAUCAUCGCAAGGGACGAGAGGCCCCCCAGGGAAGGUCAACGUAUGCAAAGCUCCGGGCUCACCUCCGCAAGCAGGAGACAUUUCCAUUUUUACUCCGUUUGGUGGGUGGGUAUUUAUGCUUUUCACUUUUAACCACUCCGUUUAGGGCGUUCGCCUGGGAAACACCGUCUUGCACAGGACCAAAGCCGUCCUUUGCCAGAAAUCAUGAUACUGUGGCUUAGACUUGGCUUUGUCCUAAAAGAUUUCUCGCUCAGGGCCCUGGAGGCUGCCCCAAGGCCCAGAAGGGGAAUCUGCUGGACACUGACCCGGGCCUGCUGCCUGGCCGGCCGGGCCUUGCCUUCUGCGCUCCCUGUAGGUGAUUCAAAGCCACUCCUUCAGAGUGAAGACAUUAAGGUCGACCUGACUGCCCCCAGGAGUUUCCUUGUGCAGCAAGCUCAGGGAUUUCCCUCCAAAUCCUGUGAAAGCUGCUGGGUCUCCGAGGACCAGGCCUUCUUUCAGAGGAGAGGAGCUGCUUGUCUCUGAAGCAGCUCAGCAGGGGAAGGACUAUUUGCAUUGGGUUUUGUUUAAUUUGCCCGAGCCAAGCACACUGAGUCCAUUUGCCAUCACAUUAUCUAAGACAGCUCCAGAGCUUCUCAUUCUAGGAUCAAUUCCAUCCCGGAGUGACAUCCACUUAACACCCAGGGCCCCGUGCUUUUAGCUGAAUAAAGGUCAGGCCGUCCGCUGUCUCGGUGGCCGCCCAUCAUCGCAAGGGACGAGAGGCCCCCCAGGGAAGGUCAACGUAUGCAAAGCUCCGGGCUCACCUCCGCAAGCAGGAGACAUUUCCAUUUUUACUCCGUUUGGUGGGUGGGUAUUUAUGCUUUUCACUUUUAACCACUCCGUUUAGGGCGUUCGCCUGGGAAACACCGUCUUGCACAGGACCAAAGCCGUCCUUUGCCAGAAAUCUCCGCUCUGAUGAUCUGCAGAUGUGUGAACCCCGCGCCCAGUGGAAGUGGAGACAAUAAGUUAAUAGAUCACAGCCCCCCUUCCAGUCACUUCUCGGAACCACAUGCGUUUUAAUUAACCCUUGUUGAUGGAACGGGGAGGGGCUGCAAGGACCCUCCUGGCAUCUCUCCCUGGGGUGAGGGGUGAGUCUUGGCUGUACCUGGGCCAGGAGCCGCCCAACCCGCCUGCUAAGUCAGAAGUCCUGAGGGAGUCGUCGGUGGUCCAGGGCGGUGAACAGCUGGGGCUGAGAGCAGCUGCUGUGCCCCUGAGCUGCUGAGAGCGAGGGGGUCUCUGUGGAGGGAGGGGUUUCGGGCUGCAGCGUG
Molecule: long non-coding RNA, 1370 nt
Filed under: Bos grunniens (domestic yak)
Lineage: Eukaryota; Metazoa; Chordata; Mammalia; Artiodactyla; Bovidae
Description: lncRNA (ENSBGRG00000001933.1)
Source: RNAcentral